RNAcentral lists this ribosomal RNA (433 nucleotides) under uncultured bacterium. Its description in RNAcentral is "partial 16S ribosomal RNA". It matches the Rfam family "Bacterial small subunit ribosomal RNA", at positions 29 to 507 of the family's 1533-position model. The record is from RNAcentral.
AACGAACGCUGGCGGCAUGCCUAACACAUGCAAGUCGAACGAAACCUUCGGGUCUAGUGGCGCACGGGUUCGUCACGCGUGGGAACCUUCCCUUAGGUUCGGAAUAACUCCCCGAAAGGGGUGCUAAUACCGGAUAAUAUCUUCGGACCAAAGAUUUAUCGCCUUUGGAUGGGCCCGCGUUGGAUUAGCUAGUUGGUAGGGUAAAAGCCUACCAAGGCGACGAUCCAUAGCUGGUCUGAGAGGAUGAUCAGCCACACUGGGACUGAGACACGGCCCAGACUCCUACGGGAGGCAGCAGUGGGGAAUAUUGGACAAUGGGCGAAAGCCUGAUCCAGCAAUGCCGCGUGAGUGAUGAAGGCCUUAGGGUUGUAAAGCUCUUUUACCCGGGAUGAUAAUGACAGUACCGGGAGAAUAAGCUCCGGCUAACUCCGUG